GUUUGACCUCGGAUCAGGUAGGAAUACCCGCUGAACUUAAGCAUAUCAAUAAGCGGAGGAAAAGAAACCAACAGGGAUUGCCCCAGUAACGGCGAGUGAAGCGGCAACAGCUCAAAUUUGAAAUCUGGCCCCUCGGGCCCGAGUUGUAAUUUGCAGAGGAUGCUUUUGGUGAGGCGCCGCCUGAGUUCCCUGGAACGGGACGCCAUAGAGGGUGAGAGCCCCGUCUGGCUGGCCGCCGAGCCUCUGUAAAGCUCCUUCGACGAGUCGAGUAGUUUGGGAAUGCUGCUCUAAAUGGGAGGUAUAUGUCUUCUAAAGCUAAAUAUUGGCCAGAGACCGAUAGCGCACAAGUAGAGUGAUCGAAAGAUGAAAAGCACUUUGAAAAGAGGGUUAAAUAGUACGUGAAAUUGUUGAAAGGGAAGCGCUCAUGACCAGACUUGGGCCUGGCGAAUCAUCCGGCGUUCUCGCCGGUGCACUUCGCCAGGCUCAGGCCAGCAUCAGUUCGCCGCGGGGGAUAAAGGUUUCGGGAACGUGGCUCCUCCGGGAGUGUUAUAGCCCGUUGCGUAAUACCCUGCGGUGGACUGAGGUCCGCGCAUCUGCAAGGAUGCUGGCGUAAUGGUCAUCAGCGACCCGUCUUGAAACACGGACCAAGGAGUCGUCUUCGUAUGCGAGUGUUCGGGUGUCAAACCCCUACGCGUAAUGAAAGUGAACGCAGGUGAGAGCUUCGGCGCAUCAUCGACCGAUCCUGAUGUUCUCGGAUGGAUUUGAGUAAGAGCAUACGGGGCCGGACCCGAAAGAAGGUGAACUAUGCCUGUAUAGGGUGAAGCCAGAGGAAACUCUGGUGGAGGCUCGCAGCGGUUCUGACGUGCAAAUCGAUCGUCAAAUAUGGGCAUGGGGGCGAAAGACUAAUCGAACCUUCUAGUAGCUGGUUUCCGCCGAAGUUUCCCUCAGGAUAGCAGUGUUGAA
RNAcentral lists this ribosomal RNA (963 nucleotides) under Hypomyces chrysospermus. Its description in RNAcentral is "eukaryotic LSU rRNA". It matches the Rfam family "Eukaryotic large subunit ribosomal RNA", at positions 1 to 991 of the family's 3401-position model. Lineage: Eukaryota; Fungi; Ascomycota; Sordariomycetes; Hypocreales; Hypocreaceae. The record is from RNAcentral.